AUUGAACGCUGGCGGCAGGCCUAACACAUGCCAGUCGAGCGGAUGAAGGGAGCUUGCUCCUGGAUUCAGCGGCGGACGGGUGAGUAAUGCCUAGGAAUCUGCCUGGUAGUGGGGGAUAACGUCCGGAAACGGGCGCUAAUACCGCAUACGUCCUGAGGGAGAAAGUGGGGGAUCUUCGGACCUCACGCUAUCAGAUGAGCCUAGGUCGGAUUAGCUAGUUGGUGGGGUAAGGCCUACCAAGGCGACGAUCCGUAACUGGUCUGAGAGGAUGAUCAGUCACACUGGAACUGAGACACGGUCCAGACUCCUACGGGAGGCAGCAGUGGGGAAUAUUGGACAAUGGGCGAAAGCCUGAUCCAGCCAUGCCGCGUGUGUGAAGAAGGUCUUCGGAUUGUAAAGCACUUUAAGUUGGGAGGAAGGGCAGUAAGUUAAUACCUUGCUGUUUUGACGUUACCAACAGAAUAAGCACCGGCUAACUUCGUG
Molecule: ribosomal RNA, 483 nt
Filed under: uncultured bacterium
Lineage: Bacteria
Description: partial 16S ribosomal RNA
Rfam family: Bacterial small subunit ribosomal RNA
Source: RNAcentral